UUAGAGUUUGAUUCCUGGCUCAGGACGAACGCUGGCGGCGUGCUUAACACAUGCAAGUCGAACGAGGACACGGAGCUUGCUCCGUGAGCCGAGUGGCGGACGGGUGAGUAACACGUGACCAACCUGUCCUAGGGUGGGGGAUAACUUGGGGAAACCCGGGCUAAUACCGCAUGAUGUCCUGUCAUCGCAUGGUGACUUGAUCAAAGGGAGCCUCUGCUUGCAAGCUCUCGCCCAAGGAGGGGGUCGCGACGUACCAGCUAGUUGGUGGGGUAAUGGCCCACCAAGGCUACGACGCGUAGCGGGUCUGAGAGGACGACCCGUCACAUUGGGACUGAGAUACGGCCCCCACUCCUACGGGAGGCAGCAGCAGGGAAUCUUGCGCAAUGGGCGAAAGCCUGACGCAGCGACGCCGCGUGAAGGAAGAAGGCCUGCGGGUUGUAAACUUCUUUUCUGGGGGAAGACAUCCGACGGACCCUA
RNAcentral lists this ribosomal RNA (477 nucleotides) under uncultured bacterium. RNAcentral describes it as "bacterial SSU rRNA". It matches the Rfam family "Bacterial small subunit ribosomal RNA", at positions 1 to 464 of the family's 1533-position model. The record is from RNAcentral.